GACGAACGCUGGCGGCGUGCCUAACACAUGCAAGUCGAACGAACAGGUCAGGAUCUUGCUCCGGUGUCGUGAGCCGCGGACGGGUGAGGAACACGUGGAUAACCUACCUAUAAGACUGGGAUAACGUCGAGAAACCGGAGCUAAGACCGGAUAAUAUAUUGAACCGCAUGGUGGUAUAUGUAAAGGCGGUUUUUCUGUUACUUGUAGAUGGUUCCGCGCCGGCUUAGCUGGUUGGUAAGGUAACGGCUUACCACGGCGACGAUGCCUAGCCGACGUGAGAGGGUGAUCGGCGACACUGGAAGUGGGACACGGUCCAGACUCCUACGGGAGGGAGCAGUAGGGAAUCUUACGCAGUGGGCGAGAGCCUGACGGAGCAGCGGCGAGUGAGUGAUGAAGGUGUUGGGAUCGUAAAACUGUGUUAUUAGGGAAGAACAAAUGUGUAAGUAAAUAUGCACGUAUUGACGGUACCUGAUCAGAAAGCCACGGCUAACUACGUG
Molecule: ribosomal RNA, 497 nt
Filed under: uncultured bacterium
Lineage: Bacteria
Description: partial 16S ribosomal RNA
Rfam family: Bacterial small subunit ribosomal RNA
Source: RNAcentral